This 707-nucleotide ribosomal RNA is filed under the name Cephaleuros virescens. RNAcentral's name for it is "bacterial SSU rRNA". It matches the Rfam family "Eukaryotic small subunit ribosomal RNA", at positions 87 to 820 of the family's 1831-position model. Lineage: Eukaryota; Viridiplantae; Chlorophyta; Ulvophyceae; Trentepohliales; Trentepohliaceae. The record is from RNAcentral.
CUGCGAAUGGCUCAUUAAUCAGUUAUAGUUUAUUUGAUGGUGUUUCUUCUCGGAUAACCGUAGGAAAACUAGAGCUAAUACGUGCGUAAAUCCCGACUUCGGAAGGGACGUAUUUAUUAGAUAAGAGGCGACCGGGCUUGUCCGACCUUCGGUGAAUCAUGAUAACUUCACGAAUCGCAUGGUCAUGAACCGGCGAUGUUUCAUUCAAAUUUCUGCCCUAUCAACUUUCGACGGUAGGGUAGUGGCCUACCGUGGUGGUAACGGGUGACGGAGGAUUAGGGUUCGAUUCCGGAGAGGGAGCCUGAGAAACGGCUACCACAUCCAAGGAAGGCAGCAGGCGCGCAAAUUACCCAAAUCCCAACUCGGGGAGGUAGUGACAAGAAAUAACGAUGCUCCGGCCUCUGGUCGGGUAAUCGGAAUGAGAACAAUUUUAAUCCCCUUAUCGAGGAUCAAUUGGAGGGCAAAGUCUGGUGCCAGCAGCCCCGGGUAAUUCCAGCUCCAAUAGCGUAUUUUUAAGUUGCUGCGGGUAAAAAGCUCGUAGCCGGAUUUCGGGUGGCGCCUCCGGCCCCUUUGGGAGGACUGGGAGGUACCUCCUUCUGCCGAAGACGUGUUUGGCUUACUGUCUGGCCCGGAAGCCGGCAAUCCCUUUAGUAAAUUAGGGGGUUCAAAAGAAGGCUUUUGCCCUUUUUCCCUACAUGGGAGGACCC